Colias croceus (clouded yellow) is the source of this 634-nucleotide long non-coding RNA. RefSeq lists it as uncharacterized. The transcript is spliced from 2 exons. Lineage: Eukaryota; Metazoa; Arthropoda; Insecta; Lepidoptera; Pieridae. The record is from RefSeq and is a predicted model, not a curated record.
UUUAAGCAUACAAAGGGGCAUAGGGACAGAGAAAGCGAGUUUGUUUUAUACUAUGUAGUGAUUAAUGUUUUUAUUUAUUUUUUUCAGGAUAUAAAAGGUGGUGAAACAGCACUACAUUUGCCUGUAAAUUCAGCGAAUUGUGACCUUCGUCUCAUAAUGGUGAUAUUUAAGAACAUCGAUCGAAAACUGUGGAAGAAACUUGCACAUGUGCAAAAUAGAAGCUCGGUAACUCCACUAGAAUACGCCAGGUCUGCGAGCAAAUCGUCAACGAGACAAAACUUUCCCAUCGAAGUGUUGGAAUUCCUCAAGAAAUGCCGUUAAAUGUGUUAAAGACAUAAAUGUUUGAACAUGGAAUGGAACGUUUAAUUCGAAAUUUGAAUUUCGAACGGUUUGAUAAAGAACGCACAAUUUUUGUGGAAUUCGAAAGAUGAAAUUUGGAAUAGAUUCGAGUCUUUUUGAAUGUAUAGAAUUUGGAAUUCGAAUGGAAUUUUGAAUUUGGAACGUAAAAUAUGAAUGCAUUCUAUUUUGAAAUUGGAUUGUUAGUUUUUAUUUUGAUGAAUAUGAAUGACAUUGUAUUUUUUUAAUAUUUUAUUUGUUUAUCAAAAAACAAAUUGAAUAAAGAGAUUAAUAGAAA